Molecule: ribosomal RNA, 330 nt
Filed under: uncultured eukaryote
Lineage: Eukaryota
Description: partial 18S ribosomal RNA
Rfam family: Eukaryotic small subunit ribosomal RNA
Source: RNAcentral
CCCUUAGAUGUUCUGGGCCGCACGCGCGCUACACUGAUGCAUUCAACGAGUCUAAAACCUGGUCUGAUAGGGCUGGGUAAUCUUUUGAAUGUGCAUCGUGAUUGGGAUAGAUGAUUGCAAUUCUUCAUCUUCAACGAGGAAUGCCUAGUAAACGCAAGUUAUCAGCUUGCAUUGAUUACGUCCCUGCCCUUUGUACACACCGCCCGUCGCUCCUACCGAUUGAAUGUUCCGAUGAAUACCAUGGACUGAGAGUAUGAAUGGGUUCGCCUAUUUCUGCUUCUCGGGAAGUGGAGUAAAUCUUAACAUUUAGAGGAAGGAGAAGUCGUAACA